Molecule: ribosomal RNA, 746 nt
Filed under: uncultured Parvimonas sp.
Lineage: Bacteria; Bacillati; Bacillota; Tissierellia; Tissierellales; Peptoniphilaceae
Description: bacterial SSU rRNA
Rfam family: Bacterial small subunit ribosomal RNA
Source: RNAcentral
GACGAACGCUGGCGGCGUGCUUAACACAUGCAAGUCGAACGUGAUUUUUGUGGAAAUUCUUUCGGGAAUGGAAAUGAAAUGAAAGUGGCGAACGGGUGAGUAACACGUGAGCAACCUACCUUACACAAGGGGAUAGCCGUUGGAAACGACGAUUAAUACCGCAUGAGACCACAGAAUCGCAUGAUAUAGGGGUCAAAGAUUUAUCGGUGUAAGAAGGGCUCGCGUCUGAUUAGCUAGUUGGAAGGGUAAAGGCCUACCAAGGCGACGAUCAGUAGCCGGUCUGAGAGGAUGAACGGCCACAUUGGAACUGAGACACGGUCCAAACUCCUACGGGAGGCAGCAGUGGGGAAUAUUGCACAAUGGGGGGAACCCUGAUGCAGCGACGCCGCGUGAGCGAGGAAGGUUUUCGAAUCGUAAAGCUCUGUCCUAUGAGAAGAUAAUGACGGUAUCAUAGGAGGAAGCCCCGGCUAAAUACGUGCCAGCAGCCGCGGUAAUACGUAUGGGGCGAGCGUUGUCCGGAAUUAUUGGGCGUAAAGGGUACGUAGGCGGCCUUUUAAGUCAGGUGUGAAAGCGUGAGGCUUAACCUCAUUAAGCACUUGAAACUGGAAGGCUUGAGUGAAGGAGAGGAAAGUGGAAUUCCUAGUGUAGCGGUGAAAUGCGUAGAUAUUAGGAGGAAUACCGGUGGCGAAGGCGACUUUCUGGACUUUUACUGACGCUCAGGUACGAAAGCGUGGGGAGCAAACAGG